GCUGUCACAAAUGGAUCCCAAGACUCAUUACACCAGUGCUAAAGGGAACUUUUCCAUCAGAAUUCACCCACAACAUCACACUCUUGCCAAAACUUCCAUUCAAUCAGAAUCCUAUGGAAUUAUCUUUGAUUCUAAAGAUGUUGUUGGAGGAAGCAUUUUCCAGCUCUGAAGUACUGUGAAUGGUAAUGUCUCACUUCCCUCUAGUUUCUCUAUCAGGCAAUAAUGUUAUUUCUAUUCUUGAAUUAUUUGGUGCUUUACUGAGUCACAUAGGUAAGAAAGGAGGUAAAGAAUUCAUUCACUCUGGAACCUUAGAAAGCAAGCCUACACCAAAACAUCCUAGCACUUGGGAGGUGGGGCAGGAGAAUCAGGAGUUUAAGGUCAUCCUCAGCCAGAGUCUGAGGUGAGUUUGGGAUAUAUGAGGCUCUGUGUGCCCACCUUCCCAACUGUUUACAUCAAAACACAACCGGACCCAAUUAUCUGACAGGGAAAGAGGAUCCCAGUUCAAGAUUUCUCCACAGGAGGCAGGCUCAGAGGUCCGAGGUUGGACAGAGACAUGCUAGCCCCAAGGAGACUCCAUCUGAAGUCUCAAAGAAAUGUCAAGAGCAGCAGACAGUCCUCCUGGCUAUUGAAGCUGCCUCUUAAGUAGGGCUGGAACAACCUGGAGCCUGAGGAAACACGCAGGAGUCACUCUUCUACAGGACCUAACGGUAUCUUCCUCUCUUCCUCCAGUUCCACUGCACAGUUUAGAGUUGAGCAGGUGGUGGCCAGAAGGUGAAAUAUGGUCUGUGAGUGCCAGUUUUUAGCAUGCUGAGCCAGCAUUGCAUUCCAUGCCAGUCUGGGUUAUACAGACGAGAUACAGUCCAGAAAGAACAGAGUUGGACUCAGAUCACUUGUAGAGCGCUAGCCUGACACACAUGAAACCCUGGGCUCUAUCCUCACCGCCGCACAAACCUCAGCUGACAGCAGCCUGGGGCCUCACUGAGACCUGCUCAGCGUACUCAGCACAAGGUAGAGUGUGCGCUCAUGAGCCAGGGUGGGGUGGUCUGGACGUUGGCUCCCGCCCUGGUCCUCAGACACAUCCGCCAGACUCUGAGCUUGCCUCCAAAAGCGUCUGCGCGUGCGCACCCCACAGUUAGCGCGCGUCUGCCAGCUACUUCCGGCUGGCCCUUGGCAGCCCUCACACACCCUCCCAGGAGCCUCAGCUGGGGUGCCGCCUCCUCGCGAAGCAGUCACUUGAACGGCGGGCUAGAAAAAACCGGAGGGGAAAGCUGCGGGAGGCGACAGCAGGGGCGAGAGAGGACGUAGCAUCCACACCCUACGCAAGCGCGUCGUAGUCACAUGACAAGGGGCGGUGCCCGUGUGGGCGGGAGCGAAGUCACGGCUAGGGUCGAGGUUGCUACGGCGGACCAGCGGUGGCAACGGGGAGGCACACGGUCCAAAGUCCUUUUACUUUCUGAGGAUGGGCAGAUCCUGGCAGAAGCAGAUGGACUGAGCACAAACCACUGGCUGAUUGGCACAGACCAGUGUGUGGAGAGGAUCAAUGAGAUGGUGGACAGGGCCAAACAGAAGGCUGGAGUGGAUCCUCUGGUGCCCCUUCGAAGCCUGGGCCUGUCCCUGAGUGGUGGGGAGCAGGAGGAUGCAGUGAGGCUCCUGAUUGAGGAGUUGAGGCACCGCUUUCCCAACCUGAGUGAAAACUACUUAAUCACCACGGAUGCAGCAGGUUCCAUCGCCACAGCCACACCGGACGGUGGGAUUGUGCUCAUCUCUGGAACAGGCUCCAACUGUAGGCUUAUCAACCCUGAUGGCUCCGAGAGUGGCUGUGGAGGCUGGGGCCACAUGAUGGGAGACGAGGGCUCAGCUUUCCCUUGCCUGGGUCUACCAAACAGUUGAUCAAAAGCCUCUUCCCCUACUGGGAACCAGUGACUGAAUAGCAGGUGAUCAGUGGAGUUCUAACUGGUCUUGAGCUGAGAGCUUUUCUUGGUGAGGAGACUGCCUCUGUGAUUGGCUGUCUUCUUCGCCUUCUGCUCCUGGCAGCCUACUGGAUUGCACACCAAGCUGUGAAAAUUGUGUUUGAUUCCAUCGACAACCUGGAGGCAGCUCCUCAUGAUAUUGGCCAUGUCAAGCAGGCCAUGUUCGACUAUUUCCAGGUGCCAGAUCGGCUUGGAAUCCUCACCCAUUUGUAUAGGGACUUUGAUAAAUGCAAGUUUGCUGGAUUUUGCCAGAAAAUUGCAGAAGGUGCACAUCAGGGAGACCCUCUUUCCAGGUACAUCUUCAGGAAGGCUGGAGAGAUGCUGGGCAGACAUGUUGUGGCAGUAUUGCCAGAGAUUGACCCGGUUUUGUUCCAAGGGGAGCUUGGCCUCCCCAUUCUGUGUGUGGGCUCAGUGUGGAAGAGCUGGGAGCUCCUGAAGGAAG
This is an RNA transcript of Mus musculus (house mouse), 2412 nucleotides long. It is a transcript of the gene named N-acetylglucosamine kinase, with no coding region annotated. The record is from RefSeq and is marked validated. Lineage: Eukaryota; Metazoa; Chordata; Mammalia; Rodentia; Muridae. The transcript is spliced from 9 exons.